RNAcentral lists this long non-coding RNA (1001 nucleotides) under Macaca mulatta (Rhesus monkey). Its description in RNAcentral is "lncRNA (ENSMMUG00000050986.1)". The record is from RNAcentral. Lineage: Eukaryota; Metazoa; Chordata; Mammalia; Primates; Cercopithecidae.
GCCAUUCAGAAAGGCAAUAAGCAAGCUCUAAGAAUACGUGCUGAAAAUACAAUCCACCAGAAAAAGCAAGCAAUUGAUUUCUUAAGAGUGAGUGCUAGAGUUGAUGCUGUGGCAGCCAGAGUUCAAAAUGCAGUAACAAUGGGCAGGACUUCUGCCUUGAUGAACAAAUUCGAACACCAGUUUGAAAUAUUGGAUAUUCAAACACAACAAAUGGAAGAUAAAAUGAGUAACUCUACAACCCUAACAACACCACAAAACCAAAUGGAUAUGCUGCUUCAGGAAAUGCCAGAUGAAGCUAGGUAAGAAGUUAUCCAGGUGAUUGUGGAAAAUCUUGAUUUAGUAUCUAGAGGUUCUAAAAUGCUGUGAUAUAGAUGAAAAUAUUUCUCUUUUCCACGAAUUGCCAGAGUUAGGUUUGUGACCCUAGAAUUUAGUGUUUCAAGGGACUUUAAACAGUCAUCUAAUUCCUUGCCAUGCUCAUAAAAAUUUGACUGUGUUUCAAUCAUCUUAGUAUUUUCUUAAAAAUUUCUGGAAAUAGACUCAUUUAGUGUGUGUAAAGAAAUAGGCAAAGGUGAUCAAAGGAAGCAGGAAUGUUUAAACAAUUACCUAAUACCUACUGUUCGCUGCAUAUAUGAAAUAUAUGGUGUGUUUUGUUUUUUGUUUUUUUUAAAAAAAGGACCUUCCAAAAUAAUUCUGCUGUGAUUAGGCCAUUGAGUCAUAAGUCUAGUUUGAGUACUGCAAACUGAGCAAUAUGUGCAAAAUGUGCAAGGGGCUCAAAAGACAGCAGUAUUACACAUAAUGAUUUGGUUGUUUCUUUUAAGUAAAUAGUUCAUACCCUUUUGUGAUAUUGUUAUUGGAAAUAGGGUGUAUAAUACAAGCUGUUUAUUUCAGGCCCUUCAUGUCAUGGGAGAAUGACUUAUCUAUGACAUCUUUGCUAUAGAGGUCAUGUUGUAUCAUUAUUCUCUGGUGUAAUGUUUGCUUCAAGAUAAUGUAGUAGUAAAAAA